AAAAUUAAAUCAUUAUUUUGCAAGCUGGACAUGGACUUGCCUAGAGAAGCUACUAGCCACUGCCAGAUUGCCAUCUCUCUCUGGUCACAACUCCAAACAAUAGAAAUUGCCAGCCCUUUCUCUCCUGCCUUAUGUCUCUAACAAAAUCCGAUUGUUGCUGCCCAUUUGUCCUCGAUCCUCCACGUGAUCCAAAGUUUUUUCCUUUAAAAGAAAAUUUUUGAUCGAAAAUAUUGCCUCUUUUUAGUUUCCUUGGUUGCAUCUAUCAUCUGCUCCAGAAAAUUUUGGAAAAUGCAGCAGGGGUUGGACUGGGAGCAGUAUCUGGUAGAAGGUGUAAGAACGGAUGUGGAUCUGUCUGGACUGAGAGAUGAUGAUGGUGUUAGCGGAAGGGGGAAAAGCGAAGAUGGAAAAUUAAGCUAUGGCUACACAUCUCGAAGAGGGCAUAGAGUAACCAUGGAUGGUACCUACGAUAUUAAGAUUUCCACCAUUAAUGGGCAGUGUGUGCAUGUUUGGAAUCUUUGAUGAACGACUUACUUAUCGAGAUGAUGGUUCAGCUGCUAUUACAGCAGUGGUGGUUGGUAACCAUCUAUAUGUUGCCCAUGUUGGGGACUCAAGGGGUAUAGCAUCCAAGGCUGGAAAUGGAGGUAGUUGUUCUUGCUCGAGCUGAAGAAGCUGAGAAAGCGGCUAAAAGGUUAACGGAUAUUGCUUUCACCAGAAUGGAACAAAAGAUAACCUUCGGUUGGAAUUUUCAAUGCAUUGUGAUUAAAUUCCACCAUCCGGAAUCAGCAUAAUUAGAAAUCACUUUAUACUAUUGCAUCCAAUUUCUGUCUGUGUUCAUCUACUACUUAAUGGCCAAUGAUUGCAUACAUCAAGGGCCCAUAUUAUUAUUAUUAUUAUUUAAAUAAAGGAGCAUGCAUUAGACUAAGAAAUUGCAUGACACAUACAUGAACAAAACUAAAUGUAAAAUUAGAAAGUUCAUAAAAAAUGGAAAAGUGUUUCAAAAUA
Gossypium arboreum is the source of this 1002-nucleotide RNA transcript. It is a transcript of the gene named probable protein phosphatase 2C member 13, mitochondrial, with no coding region annotated. NCBI's taxonomy places the organism in Eukaryota, Viridiplantae, Streptophyta, Magnoliopsida, Malvales, Malvaceae. The transcript is spliced from 5 exons. The record is from RefSeq and is a predicted model, not a curated record.